RNAcentral lists this ribosomal RNA (630 nucleotides) under Alicycliphilus denitrificans. RNAcentral's name for it is "bacterial SSU rRNA". It matches the Rfam family "Bacterial small subunit ribosomal RNA", at positions 117 to 744 of the family's 1533-position model. Lineage: Bacteria; Pseudomonadati; Pseudomonadota; Betaproteobacteria; Burkholderiales; Comamonadaceae. The record is from RNAcentral.
AUCGGAACGUGCCCGAUCGUGGGGGAUAACGAAGCGAAAGCUUUGCUAAUACCGCAUACGAUCUACGGAUGAAAGCGGGGGAUCUUCGGACCUCGCGCGGACGGAGCGGCCGAUGGCAGAUUAGGUAGUUGGUGGGAUAAAAGCUUACCAAGCCGACGAUCUGUAGCUGGUCUGAGAGGAUGAUCAGCCACACUGGGACUGAGACACGGCCCAGACUCCUACGGGAGGCAGCAGUGGGGAAUUUUGGACAAUGGGCGCAAGCCUGAUCCAGCCAUGCCGCGUGCAGGAUGAAGGCCUUCGGGUUGUAAACUGCUUUUGUACGGAACGAAAAGGUGCCUUCUAAUAAAGGGCGCUCAUGACGGUACCGUAAGAAUAAGCACCGGCUAACUACGUGCCAGCAGCCGCGGUAAUACGUAGGGUGCGAGCGUUAAUCGGAAUUACUGGGCGUAAAGCGUGCGCAGGCGGUUUUGUAAGACAGAGGUGAAAUCCCCGGGCUCAACCUGGGAACUGCCUUUGUGACUGCAAGGCUGGAGUGCGGCAGAGGGGGAUGGAAUUCCGCGUGUAGCAGUGAAAUGCGUAGAUAUGCGGAGGAACACCGAUGGCGAAGGCAAUCCCCUGGGCUGCACUGAC